This 474-nucleotide ribosomal RNA is filed under the name uncultured bacterium. RNAcentral's name for it is "partial 16S ribosomal RNA". It matches the Rfam family "Bacterial small subunit ribosomal RNA", at positions 28 to 507 of the family's 1533-position model. The record is from RNAcentral.
GACGAACGCUGGCGGCGUGCCUAAUACAUGCAAGUAGAACGCUGAAGGAGGAGCUUGCUUCUCUGGAUGAGUUGCGAACGGGUGAGUAACGCGUAGGUAACCUGCCUGGUAGCGGGGGAUAACUAUUGGAAACGAUAGCUAAUACCGCAUAAUAGCAGUUGUUGCAUGACAACUGUUUGAAAGGUGCAAAUGCAUCACUACCAGAUGGACCUGCGUUGUAUUAGCUAGUUGGUGGGGUAAAGGCUCACCAAGGCGACGAUACAUAGCCGACCUGAGAGGGGGACCGGGCACAUCGGGACUGGGAUGAGGCCAAGACUCAUACGGGAGGGAGCAGUGGGGAAGAUAGCAUAAUGGGCUGAAGCAUGAUGGAGCAGCGCCGCGGGCGGGAGGAAGGGAGUCGGGUUGUAAACAGCGUUAGACUGUGACGAAGAGGGAGUGACGGUAAUGGGUAAAGAAGCACCGGCUAACUACGUG